This 377-nucleotide ribosomal RNA is filed under the name uncultured bacterium. Its description in RNAcentral is "bacterial SSU rRNA". It matches the Rfam family "Bacterial small subunit ribosomal RNA", at positions 29 to 432 of the family's 1533-position model. The record is from RNAcentral.
AACGAACGCUGGCGGCAGGCCUAAAACAUGCAAGUCGAGCGGGCAUAGCAAUAUGUCAGCGGCGGACGGGUGAAUAACACGUGGGAACAUGCCCUUUGGUACGGAACAACUCAGGGAAACUUGAGCUAAUACCGUAUGUGCCGGUAACGGGAAAGAUUUAUCGCCAAAGGAUUGGCCCGCGUCCGAUUAGCUAGUUGGUGAGGUAACGGCUCACCAAGGCGACGAUCGGUAGCUGGUUUGAGAGAACGAUCAGCCACACUGGGACUGAGACACGGCCCAGACUCCUACGGGAGGCAGCAGUUGGGAAUCUUGGACAAUGGGGGAAACCCGUGAUCCAGCCAUGCCGCGUGAGCGAUGAAGGCCUUCGGUUGUAAGUA